GGACGAACGCUGGCGGCGUGCUUAACACAUGCAAGUCGAGCGGAAAGGCCCUGCUUUUGUGGGGUGCUCGAGUGGCGAACGGGUGAGUAACACGUGAGUAACCUGCCCUUGACUUUGGGAUAACUUCAGGAAACUGGGGCUAAUACCGGAUAGGAGCUCCUGCUGCAUGGUGGGGGUUGGAAAGUUUCGGCGGUUGGGGAUGGACUCGCGGCUUAUCAGCUUGUUGGUGGGGUAGUGGCUUACCAAGGCUUUGACGGGUAGCCGGCCUGAGAGGGUGACCGGCCACAUUGGGACUGAGAUACGGCCCAGACUCCUACGGGAGGCAGCAGUGGGGAAUAUUGCACAAUGGGCGGAAGCCUGAUGCAGCAACGCCGCGUGCGGGAUGACGGCCUUCGGGUUGUAAACCGCUUUCGCCUGUGACGAAGCGUGAGUGACGGUAAUGGGUAAAGAAGCACCGGCUAACUACGUG
RNAcentral lists this ribosomal RNA (469 nucleotides) under uncultured bacterium. Its description in RNAcentral is "partial 16S ribosomal RNA". It matches the Rfam family "Bacterial small subunit ribosomal RNA", at positions 27 to 507 of the family's 1533-position model. The record is from RNAcentral.